UAAAGUGGCUAGUGAUACAUGUAUUACAUAAGGAUGCAGUCGAUGAUAUAGAGUACAGUAUCAACGUAUGCAUAUGAGAUGAACAAUGUAGGGUAAGUAACAUUAUAUAAGGUAGCAUUGUUUAAAGUGGCUAGUGAUAUAUUUACAUCAUUUCCCAUCAAUUCCCAUGAUUAAAGUGGCUGGAGUAGAGUCAGUGUCAUUGACAGUGUGUUGGCAGUAGCCACUCAAUGUUAGUGGUGGCUGUUUAACAGUCUGAUGGCCUUGAGAUAGAAGCUGUUUUUCAGUCUCUCGGUCCCAGCUUUGAUGCACCUGUACUGACCUCGCCUUCUGGAUGACAGCGGGGUGAACAGGCAGUGGCUCGGGUGGUUGAUAUCCUUGAUGAUCUUUAUGGCCUUCCUGUAGCAUCGGGUGGUGUAGGUGUCCUGGAGGGCAGGUAGUUUGCCCCCGGUGAUGCGUUGUGCAGACCUCACUACCCUCUGGAGAGCCUUACGGUUGAGGGCGGUGCAGUUGCCAUACCAGGCGGUGAUACAGCCCGCCAGGAUGGUGGGAGGGUUAAAUACACAACAGGUAAUUAAAUGGCAUUGAAACCAGGUGUGUUGGAAGACAAGACAAAACCAAUGGGAAAUGAAAAAUGGAUCAAUGAUGACUAGAAGACCGGUGACGUCGACCGAGGAGCACCGCCCGAACAAGGAGAGGCAACAACUUCGGCAGAAGUAGUGACAACGGGUUUAGGAUUGUAUAGGGUUAAAACAUUAGGUUUAGUCUCUCAUUCUAAAUGGUUAAGGUAAAGGUCAAGGUUUGGAAAGGGUUAAGGUACUGGUCAAGGAUUGGAUAGGGUUAAGGUACUGGUUAAGGUUUGGAUAGGGUUAAGGUACUGGUUAAGGAUUGGAUAGGAUUAAGGUACUGGUCAAGGUUUGGAUAGGGUUAAGGUACUGGUUAAGGAUUGGAUAGGGUUAAGGUACUGGUCAAGGUUUGGAUAGGGUUAAGGUACUGGUUAAGGAUUGGAUAGGGUUAAGGUACUGGUCAAGGUUUGGAUAGGGUUAAGGUUUGGAUAGGGUUAAGGUACUGGUUAAGGUUUGGAUAGGGUUAAGGUACUGGUUAAGGUUUGGAUAGGGUUAAGGUACUGGUCAAGGUUUGGAUAGGGUUAAGGUACUGGUCAAGGUUUGGAUAGGGUUAAGGUACUGGUUAAGGAUUGGAUAGGGUUAAGGUACUGGUUAAGGAUUGGAUAGGGUUAAGGUACUGGUCAAGGUUUGGAUAGGGUUAAGGUACUGGUUAAGGAUUGGAUAGGGUUACGGUACUGGUCAAGGUUUGGAUAGGGUUAAGGUACUGGUUAAGGAUUGGAUAGGAUUAAGGUACUGGUCAAGGUUUGGAUAGGGUUAAGGUACUGGUUAAGGAUUGGAUAGGGUUAAGGUACUGGUCAAGGUUUGGAUAGGGUUAAGGUACUGGUCAAGGAUUGGAUAGGGUUAAGGUACUGGUUAAGGAUUGGAUAGGGUUAAGGUACUGGUCAAGGUUUGGAUAGGGCUAAGGUACUGGUUAAGGAUUCUAUAGGGUUAAGACAUUGAGUUUAGUCUCUCAUUCUGAAUGGUUAAGGUAAAGGUCAAGGUUUGGAUAGGGUUAAGUUAAAACCAACUAUAAAAACCAGUGUCUGUGACCAGGAUCAAACACACAGCCUUCUGAUCCAGAGGUAUGGGAUUCCACCUCUCCAUCCGCUCAUCCACAACACUCCAGCAAAACCCAGGCCUACUUGAUGGUAAUAGUGCUCACUGUUGCCUCUAGUGGCUGGUUUUGAAGGCAUUUCCCGAUGUCUUCAGGAAAGCGAUAGACGUCCAAUUUCAACAAUAAUCUUGAACGAACUGGCUGCACACACACACACACACACACACACACACACACACACACAAUGCCUCGGAUCCCUAAGCGCUUCCUGCUAGCCGACCUGUGAAUGUCUAUCUGCUAGGAGGGCUCUUACUCUGGCCCUUUGCCUCAUACUUGGAGAUUGCCCCACAUUUGGAGGAGGGAUGGGAUGAUGGUACAAGUCAGUUAGUAUGACGCGAGGGCACUGAGGGAGUGUCCCAAAUGUCAGCCUAUUACCUAUAGUGCACUACUUUUGCCCAGGGUUCAUAGGGAAGAGGAUGCCAUUUGGUAUGGUACCUACCUACUGCAUCAUUUUAAAGAUACUGUAUAGAUAGAUAUAUACAGUACCAGUCAAAGUUUGGACUCAGCUACUCAAUCAAGGUUUUUUCUUUGUUUUGUACUAUUUUGUACAAAACUAUGACACAUAUGGAAUCAUGCAGUAACCAAAAAAGUGUAAAACAAAUCAAAAUAUAAUUUAUAUUUGAGAUUCUUCAAAGUAGCCACCCCUUGCCUCGAUAACAGCUUUGCACACUCUUGGCAUUCUCUCAACCGGCUUCAUGAGGUAGUCACCUGGAAUGCAUUUCAAUUAACAUGUGUGCCUUGUUAAAAGUUAAUUUGUGGAAUUUCUUUCCUUCUUUAAUGAGUUUGAGCCAAUCAGUUGUGUUUUGACAAGGUAGGGGUGGUAUACAGGUAAAAGACAAAGUCCAUAUUAUGGCAACAACAGCUAAGCAAAGAGAAACAACAGUGGGUCCAAACUUUUGACUGGUACUAUAUGUAGUGCACUACUUUUGACCAGGGUUCAUAUAUGUAGUGCACUACUUUUGACCAGGGUUCAUAUAUGUAGUGCACUACUUUUGGCCAGGGUUCAAAUAUGUAGUGCACUACUUUUGGCCAGGGUUCAUAUAUGUAGUGCACUACUUUUGACCAGGGUUCAUAUAUGUAGUGCACUACUUUUGGCCAGGGUUCAAAUAUGUAGUGCACUACUUUUGGCCAGGGUUCAUAUAUGUAGUGCACUACUUUUGACCAGGGUUCAUAUAUGUAGUGCACUACUUUUGGCCAGGGUUCAUAUAUGUAGUGCACUACUUUUGGCCAGGGUUCAUAUAUGUAGUGCACUACUUCUGACCAGGGUUCAUAUAUGUAGUGCACUACAUUUGACCAGGGUUCAUAUAUGUAGUGCACUACUUUUGACCAGGGCUGCUGUUUAACAGGCUCCCAACCAGCUGUGCUAUUGUGUUAGUUUUUUCGCAUUGUUAGUAACUUGUUUUGUACAUAAUGUUGCUUCUACCGUCUCUUAUGACCGGAAAGAGCUUCUGGACGUCAGAACGGCGAUUCCUCACCUCGAACUGGAUGAAGAUUUUUUCUUUAAUGAGUCCGAUGCAAAGGAUUUACUGCUUUGUCAAGGUCCAAAUCCCCGUCAU
Long non-coding RNA from Oncorhynchus tshawytscha (Chinook salmon), 3272 nucleotides. Lineage: Eukaryota; Metazoa; Chordata; Actinopteri; Salmoniformes; Salmonidae. The record is from Ensembl.